This is a non-coding RNA of Malus domestica (apple), 689 nucleotides long. NCBI's taxonomy places the organism in Eukaryota, Viridiplantae, Streptophyta, Magnoliopsida, Rosales, Rosaceae. The record is from RefSeq and is a predicted model, not a curated record.
CUAUAAACAUCCAUCCCCCAUCCCUCCCUUUUCUCACUCUGUAAUUUCCCUCAGAUCCCUCACCGAUUCUCUCUCUCGCCAGCCGCGAACUCCUUGACAGCUCGCCAUUCUCACUCUGUAUGUUCAGCUGAGAUAACUCAUUCAACCGCAGAAACGAGGUGUGAAGGAAGUGGGAAAUGGCGAGCGCAGUGGACCCAAUUUCAUGGCAGGUAACCAUCUUCAGUUUUUCGGUUUGAUUUAAAGGAAUUUUUUAGGCAGAAAAGCUAGGGCUUUCCGUUCCCACUCAGAAGUUUGUACUGCCUCAUCAUUAGAACUGUUUCCGUCUGCUCUUCUUCUUGAAACAAGGUCGCAGAUCCACAGGCCAUCAAGAUAAUUUGGUUCAUGCUAAAGUUAUUGAACGUACGAUGGAACCAGUGAUCUUUCAAAAAGUCUUGUUGAAGGAAAUGUGGGUGUUGGAGCUAGGUAAACCAAGGAGGGUGUCUACGUAGAGGGAGUGGUAGCUCUUCAAUAUAACACCAUUUUCUGUGGCUCAAAUCGCAAAACCAUCUUCAUGAAAGUUGUUCCUUAGCUCGUGAACUAUAACAUAUCCGAAUUGGAGAUCCACCGGAGCAGUACAACUCCAGAAAUUCAGAUCAACAUACUUUCUUCAUCGAAGUUGUUCCUUAACUUGUGAACUACAACAUAUCCAA